Molecule: long non-coding RNA, 514 nt
Filed under: Rattus norvegicus (Norway rat)
Lineage: Eukaryota; Metazoa; Chordata; Mammalia; Rodentia; Muridae
Description: long non-coding RNA NONRATT021238
Source: RNAcentral
AGAAAGAAAUCAGGAGAAAGGUUUUGGGGACACCAGUGUCACCAGAAAAUAGGAAGUACAGAGAUUUGAAAAGUAACUACAGCUUAAGAAGGUGUUUCUGGGAGAGAUGGAAAGAGGGGGGGAUUCAUAUGUAAAUUCAUGUUGAGGGAUAGAUACAUGAAGGUACUAUCCUUUCACUCCUUCCUGUAUGGUGGCAGGCAGGCCGGCAGGCAGGCAAGCAGCCUGUAUCACACCAUCUGCCUGCCUCACCUACCCGCCCAGUCUGGGGGCCCCUGUAGCCAGCAGGGAAGCCCUAUUCACAGAACCAAGUUGCUGCCUUUUUCACCUCGCACACCUACAGGCUAUGUCUGGCUGAAAAUGCCGUUGAUAAUAUAAACAAUAAAAGUGCUUAAAUUAGACAGUUGCCUGAUUAAAGUGAUGUUUUGCUACUAUUUUAAAACAUCUAGUGAUAGGAGCUACUAAAGUUUCCCCUCCCUGAUUUAUAGCCAGUUUGCUGAGUUAAAAAAAAAAAAAA